ACUUGGCUGGCUCAGCUGGUAGAGCACCUGACUUUUGAUCUUGGGAUUAUGAGUUCAAGCCCAUGUUGGGUA
This 72-nucleotide transfer RNA is filed under the name Mustela putorius furo (domestic ferret). It matches the Rfam family "tRNA". Rfam says of the family: Transfer RNA (tRNA) molecules are approximately 80 nucleotides in length. Their secondary structure includes four short double-helical elements and three loops (D, anti-codon, and T loops). The record is from Rfam by way of RNAcentral. Lineage: Eukaryota; Metazoa; Chordata; Mammalia; Carnivora; Mustelidae.